RNAcentral lists this ribosomal RNA (644 nucleotides) under uncultured Leifsonia sp. Its description in RNAcentral is "bacterial SSU rRNA". It matches the Rfam family "Bacterial small subunit ribosomal RNA", at positions 231 to 885 of the family's 1533-position model. Lineage: Bacteria; Bacillati; Actinomycetota; Actinomycetes; Micrococcales; Microbacteriaceae. The record is from RNAcentral.
UCGCGGCCUAUCAGCUUGUUGGUGAGGUAAUGGCUCACCAAGGCGACGACGGGUAGCCGGCCUGAGAGGGUGACCGGCCACACUGGGACUGAGACACGGCCCAGACUCCUACGGGAGGCAGCAGUGGGGAAUAUUGCACAAUGGGCGCAAGCCUGAUGCAGCAACGCCGCGUGAGGGACGACGGCCUUCGGGUUGUAAACCUCUUUUAGUAGGGAAGAAGCGAAAGUGACGGUACCUGCAGAAAAAGCACCGGCUAACUACGUGCCAGCAGCCGCGGUAAUACGUAGGGUGCAAGCGUUGUCCGGAAUUAUUGGGCGUAAAGAGCUCGUAGGCGGUUUGUCGCGUCUGCUGUGAAAACCCGAGGCUCAACCUCGGGCCUGCAGUGGGUACGGGCAGACUAGAGUGCGGUAGGGGAGAUUGGAAUUCCUGGUGUAGCGGUGGAAUGCGCAGAUAUCAGGAGGAACACCGAUGGCGAAGGCAGAUCUCUGGGCCGUAACUGACGCUGAGGAGCGAAAGCAUGGGGAGCGAACAGGAUUAGAUACCCUGGUAGUCCAUGCCGUAAACGUUGGGAACUAGAUGUGGGGACCAUUCCACGGUCUCCGUGUCGCAGCUAACGCAUUAAGUUCCCCGCCUGGGGAGUACGG